UACGUAGGGGGCAAGCGUUGUCCGGAAUCAUUGGGCGUAAAGCGCGUGUAGGCGGCCCGGUAAGUCCGCUGUGAAAGUCCAGGGCUCAACCCUGGAAUGCCGGUGGAUACUGUCGGGCUCGAGUCCGGAAGAGGCGAGUGGAAUUCCUGGUGUAGCGGUGAAAUGCGCAGAUAUCGAGAGGAACACCUGCGGCGAAGGCGGGUUGCUGGGCCGACACUGACGCUGAUGCGCGAAAGCCAGGGGAGCGAACGGG
This 253-nucleotide ribosomal RNA is filed under the name uncultured bacterium. RNAcentral's name for it is "partial 16S ribosomal RNA". It matches the Rfam family "Bacterial small subunit ribosomal RNA", at positions 524 to 776 of the family's 1533-position model. The record is from RNAcentral.